RNAcentral lists this ribosomal RNA (503 nucleotides) under uncultured bacterium. RNAcentral describes it as "partial 16S ribosomal RNA". It matches the Rfam family "Bacterial small subunit ribosomal RNA", at positions 30 to 523 of the family's 1533-position model. The record is from RNAcentral.
AUUGAACGCUGGCGGCAGGCUUAACACAUGCAAGUCGAGCGGGGUGAUGGUGCUUGCACUAUCACUUAGCGGCGGACGGGUGAGUAAUGCUUAGGAAUCUGCCUAUUAGUGGGGGACAACAUCUCGAAAGGGAUGCUAAUACCGCAUACGUCCUACGGGAGAAAGCAGGGGAUCACUUGUGACCUUGCGCUAAUAGAUGAGCCUAAGUCGGAUUAGCUAGUUGGUGGGGUAAAGGCCUACCAAGGCGACGAUCUGUAGCGGGUCUGAGAGGAUAUGCCGCCACACUGGGACUGAGACACGGCCCAGACGCCUACGGGAGGCAGCAGUGGGGAAUAUUGGAAAAUGGGGGGAACCCUGUUCCAGCCAUGCCGCGUGUGUGAAGAAGGCCUUAUGGUUGUAAAGCACUUUAAGCGAGGAGGAGGCUCUUUUGGUUAAUACCCAAGAUGAGUGGACGUUACUCGCAGAAUAAGCACCGGCUAACUCUGUGCCAGCCGCCGCCGUAA